This 1172-nucleotide ribosomal RNA is filed under the name uncultured Alteromonas sp. Its description in RNAcentral is "bacterial SSU rRNA". It matches the Rfam family "Bacterial small subunit ribosomal RNA", at positions 54 to 1229 of the family's 1533-position model. Lineage: Bacteria; Pseudomonadati; Pseudomonadota; Gammaproteobacteria; Alteromonadales; Alteromonadaceae. The record is from RNAcentral.
CAUGCAAGUCGAACGGUAACAUUUCUAGCUUGCUAGAAGAUGACGAGUGGCGGACGGGUGAGUAAUGCUUGGGAACUUGCCUUUGCGAGGGGGAUAACAGUUGGAAACGACUGCUAAUACCGCAUAAUGUCUUCGGACCAAACGGGGCUUCGGCUCCGGCGCAAAGAGAGGCCCAAGUGAGAUUAGCUAGUUGGUAAGGUAACGGCUUACCAAGGCGACGAUCUCUAGCUGUUCUGAGAGGAAGAUCAGCCACACUGGGACUGAGACACGGCCCAGACUCCUACGGGAGGCAGCAGUGGGGAAUAUUGCACAAUGGGGGAAACCCUGAUGCAGCCAUGCCGCGUGUGUGAAGAAGGCCUUCGGGUUGUAAAGCACUUUCAGUUGUGAGGAAAAGUUAGUAGUUAAUACCUGCUAGCCGUGACGUUAACAACAGAAGAAGCACCGGCUAACUCCGUGCCAGCAGCCGCGGUAAUACGGAGGGUGCGAGCGUUAAUCGGAAUUACUGGGCGUAAAGCGCACGCAGGCGGUUUGUUAAGCUAGAUGUGAAAGCCCCGGGCUCAACCUGGGAUGGUCAUUUAGAACUGGCAGACUAGAGUCUUGGAGAGGGGAGUGGAAUUCCAGGUGUAGCGGUGAAAUGCGUAGAUAUCUGGAGGAACAUCAGUGGCGAAGGCGACUCCCUGGCCAAAGACUGACGCUCAUGUGCGAAAGUGUGGGUAGCGAACAGGAUUAGAUACCCUGGUAGUCCACACCGUAAACGCUGUCUACUAGCUGUGUGUGUCUUUAAGACGUGCGUAGCGAAGCUAACGCGCUAAGUAGACCGCCUGGGGAGUACGGCCGCAAGGUUAAAACUCAAAUGAAUUGACGGGGGCCCGCACAAGCGGUGGAGCAUGUGUUUAUUCGAUGCACGCGAAAACCUUACCAGGCCUUGACAUCCUGAGACUUUCUAGAGAUAGAUCGGUGCUUCGGGACUCAGUGACAGUGUUGCAUGACUGUCGUCAGCUCGUGUCGUGAGAUGUUGGGUUAAGUUCCGUAACGAGCGCAACCUUAUUCUUUACUUGUCAGCCACUUCGGGGGUAACUUAAGGAACCUCCGGGUGACAAAACCGCAGAAAAGAAAAGAGAAUGUCAAGUUUCUAUGGGCCUUAUAAGCCGUGGGGGGUACACACAGCUCUA